AGAGUUUGAUCAUGGCUCAGAAUCAACGCUGGCGGCGUGCCUCAGACAUGCAAGUCGAACGAUUAAGACUUCCUUCGGGAAGUGUAUAAAGUGGCGCACGGGUGAGUAACACGUAAGUAAUCUACCUUCGAGUGGGGAAUAACGUUCGGAAACGAACGCUAAUACCGCAUAAUGCAGCGGCAUCGCAAGAUGACAGUUGUUAAAGGAAUUUAUUUCGCUUGAAGAGGAGCUUGCGGCAGAUUAGCUAGUUGGUAAGGUAACGGCUUACCAAGGCUACGAUCUGUAUCCGGUCUAAGAGGACGGUCGGACACACUGACACUGAAUAACGGGUCGGACUCCUACGGGAGGCAGCAGUCGGGAAUUUUGGGCAAUGGGCGAAAGCCUGACCCAGCAACGCCGCGUGAAGGAUGAAGUAUUUCGGUAUGUAAACUUCGAAAGAAUGGGAAGAAUAAAUGACGGUACCAUUUAUAAGCUCCGGCUAACUACGUG
Molecule: ribosomal RNA, 489 nt
Filed under: uncultured bacterium
Lineage: Bacteria
Description: bacterial SSU rRNA
Rfam family: Bacterial small subunit ribosomal RNA
Source: RNAcentral